This 440-nucleotide ribosomal RNA is filed under the name uncultured bacterium. RNAcentral's name for it is "partial 16S ribosomal RNA". It matches the Rfam family "Bacterial small subunit ribosomal RNA", at positions 338 to 795 of the family's 1533-position model. The record is from RNAcentral.
CCUACGGGGGGCAGCAGUAGGGAAUAUUGCUCAAUGGGGGCAACCCUGAAGCAGCAACGCCGCGUGGAGGAUGAAGGUUUUCUGAUUGUAAACUCCUUUUGUUAGAGAAGAUAAUGACGGUAUCUAACGAAUAAGCACCGGCUAACUCCGUGCCAGCAGCCGCGGGAAUACGGAGGGUGCAAGCGUUACUCGGAAUCACUGGGCGUAAAGAGCGCGUAGGCGGGAUAGCAAGUCAGAUGUGAAAUCCUAUGGCUUAACCAUAGAACUGCAUUUGAAACUGUUAGUCUAGAGAAUAGGAGAGGUAGGUGGAAUUCUUGGUGUAGGGGUAAAAUCCGUAGAGAUCAAGAGGAAUACUCAUUGCGAAGGCGACCUGCUAGAACAUAACUGACGCUGAUGCGCGAAAGCGUGGGGAGCAAACAGGAUUAGAUACCCGUGUAGUC